UACGUAGGGGGCUAGCGUUGUCCGGAAUCAUUGGGCGUAAAGCGCGUGUAGGCGGUCCGGUAAGUCCGCUGUGAAAGCCAGGGGCUCAACCCGUGGAUGCCGGUGGAUACUGUCGGGCUUGAGUACGGAAGAGGCGAGUGGAAUUCCUGGUGUAGCGGUGAAAUGCGCAGAUAUCAGGAGGAACACCAAUUGCGAAGGCAGCUCGCUGGGACGUUACUGACGCUGAGAUACGAAAGCGUGGGGAGCAAACAGG
This 253-nucleotide ribosomal RNA is filed under the name uncultured bacterium. RNAcentral's name for it is "partial 16S ribosomal RNA". It matches the Rfam family "Bacterial small subunit ribosomal RNA", at positions 524 to 776 of the family's 1533-position model. The record is from RNAcentral.